UCAUCAAGCUGAAGAACAAUGGGGACUUUUUCUUGGCCAAUGAAGGCCGACGGCCCAUUUAUGUUGAUGGACGGCCAGUGCUCUGUGGCAGCAAGUGGAAACUCAGCAAUAACUCUGUGGUUGAGAUUGCCAGCUUGCGCUUUGUUUUCCUCAUCAACCAAGAUCUGAUUGCUCUUAUCAAGGCAGAAGCUGCCAAAAUUGCCCAGCCCUGAGGCUUGGAUCGAACCAAAGGACACCCCACCCAACCCCACUCCGCUCCUCCUGCCUCCAGCAGGGACUGCUGUUUUCUUUGCUGCUUGAUGCAGCUUCCUCCAGUUUGCCUCCUUUGAGAUUAGGACACAAAAGCCAUCCUGGCUCUUCGUUGUUGUUGUUGUUGUUAGCAUAGAGGAACUCUGUUUCAUGCGUGAGAGAAGGGGUGGGUGUGAGUAGAGAGACUUAAACACAGCCCUUUGGCUAACAGGAACCUUUUGCCGGGUUGGGUGAGAAACGACUUACUGCUUCUACUGACUCUUGCGCUUCACUCUCUUUGGGACAGAGUGAUGAAAUUUUUCAGGACUGGAUGCGGCGAGAGCCAAGGUCAAGCUAAUAUAACAGUUGAUCAGUCCUCUCGUUCUGUGCUGUGUUAGUGCCAUUUCUAGAUGUCAGUUUUUUAAGGUAUCCAUUAUUUUAAUCUCAGUUCCUUGGGUGU
Notechis scutatus (mainland tiger snake) is the source of this 688-nucleotide non-coding RNA. NCBI's taxonomy places the organism in Eukaryota, Metazoa, Chordata, Lepidosauria, Squamata, Elapidae. The record is from RefSeq and is a predicted model, not a curated record.